Molecule: transfer RNA, 90 nt
Filed under: Paraplanobispora siamensis
Lineage: Bacteria; Bacillati; Actinomycetota; Actinomycetes; Streptosporangiales; Streptosporangiaceae
Description: Planobispora siamensis tRNA-Val
Source: RNAcentral
CCGGCGGUGGCGGGGGCGGUGCUGGCCGGGGUGACGGCCGGGGCGAUGGUGCUGCGCUGGCGGCUGCCGUUCGAGGCGACGCUGACCGCC